UACGUAGGUGGCAAGCGUUAUCCGGAUUUACUGGGUGUAAAGGGGGCGCAGACGGCGAUGCAAGCCAGGAGUGAAAGCCCGGGGCCCAACCCCGGGACUGCUCUUGGAACUGCGUGGCUGGAGUGCAGGAGGGGCAAUCGGAAUUCCGUGUGUAGCGGUGAAAUGCGUAGAUAUACGGAGGAACACCAGUGGCGAAGGCGGAUUGCUGGACAGUAACUGACGCUGAGGCGCGAAAGCGUGGGGAGCAAACAGG
RNAcentral lists this ribosomal RNA (253 nucleotides) under uncultured bacterium. RNAcentral's name for it is "partial 16S ribosomal RNA". It matches the Rfam family "Bacterial small subunit ribosomal RNA", at positions 524 to 776 of the family's 1533-position model. The record is from RNAcentral.